Molecule: long non-coding RNA, 821 nt
Organism: Vespula pensylvanica (western yellowjacket)
Lineage: Eukaryota; Metazoa; Arthropoda; Insecta; Hymenoptera; Vespidae
Exons: 2
Source: RefSeq, a predicted model, not a curated record
AUUUUAUGAAUGUUGAAUUUUGGAAGAAGUUAAGAAAAUAUGGCUCACAAAAGAAAAAGAAAAAUAAACCAAUGAACGAUCUCGCGAUGAUUCUUUUACUCACCAUGAAAGCUACUCGAAAUUUAUUCGACAUGAUGUUAUAAAGAAUCGGAUUGAUAGUCGUGGAGACAUAAUACAGGACUCCAGACACGUAGGUCAUCAAUAGAUAAAGAGACUCUAUCCAUCUACUGUGAGACGUGAAGUGGUCCUCGCUGUUGGUGCCAUAAAUGGCGAUCAAUCGUUGAACGUGAAAUGGUGCCCAGCAGAUGAAGAAUGCGACGACAACUGCAACUAAAAUUAUGCAAGAGCAUACAUUUAUAUAAAAUACAUAUUAAUGUUAUUCUUGAUAGGAGAUAAAUGUUAAUCGUUUUUUUCUGUUAUUUUUUAUUUUUAUUUUUAUUUAUUUAUUUAUUUAUUUAUUUUUUUAUUUUUAUAAUAAGAAAUUACUAUUUGAAACUUACGGAGAAAUAUUAUACGUCGAGUUCUUUGAUUUGUUAAUAUUUUGACGUACAAAUAAAAUGAAACUCAGUGUUUUAAAAAAAUAUUAUUUCAUAUUUAAACAAAUUUAAUCGGCAUAAAACUGUCGUAGUUUCAGAGACAAGUUAAUGUUUGUAACGACAUAAACAAAUGACAUCCCAGAUGUUUUUGUAUGUCAAAGGAUUAAUAAACAAAAUAUUUCAUCUUUUUCUCUACUAUUGAAUUGCAAACGAUUCUGAUAAAUCACUAACUUGUGGAGGAUAUUCGAUUACGUGUGAUCAAUAAAUCAAGUGUGUAAUCCGAAA